CAACAAGCACAUUUUCUCUCUAGAGCAACUUGAGUACAACAAAGAAGGGCUGGUCUGGGAUGAUGUCAACUGGAUGGACAAUGGAGAGUGCCUUGAUCUCAUAGAAAAGAAGUUGGGUUUGCUCGCUCUCAUGAAUGAGGAGAGUCAUUUUCCUAAAGGCACUGAUGACACAUUGCUGGAGAAACUCCAUAGCCAGCAUGCUAGGAAUCAGUUCUAUGUUAAGCCUCGUGUUGCAGUUCAUCAGUUUGGAAUCAAGCAUUAUGCAGGAGAGGU
This is a long non-coding RNA of Sinocyclocheilus anshuiensis, 273 nucleotides long. RefSeq lists it as uncharacterized. Lineage: Eukaryota; Metazoa; Chordata; Actinopteri; Cypriniformes; Cyprinidae. The record is from RefSeq and is a predicted model, not a curated record. The transcript is spliced from 4 exons.